CAGUAGCCGCGGUAAUACGGAGGGUGCAAGCGUUAAUCGGAAUUACUGGGCGUAAAGCGCACGCAGGCGGUCUGUCAAGUCGGAUGUGAAAUCCCCGGGCUCAACCUGGGAACUGCAUUCGAAACUGGCAGGCUAGAGUCUUGUAGAGGGGGGUAGAAUUCCAGGUGUAGCGGUGAAAUGCGUAGAGAUCUGGAGGAAUACCGGUGGCGAAGGCGGCCCCCUGGACAAAGACUGACGCUCAGGUGCGAAAGCGUGGGGAGCAAACAGGAUUAGAUACCCCUGUAGUCCCUGUCUCUUAUAA
Molecule: ribosomal RNA, 301 nt
Filed under: uncultured bacterium
Lineage: Bacteria
Description: partial 16S ribosomal RNA
Rfam family: Bacterial small subunit ribosomal RNA
Source: RNAcentral